Long non-coding RNA from Panicum virgatum (switchgrass), 891 nucleotides. RefSeq lists it as uncharacterized. The record is from RefSeq and is a predicted model, not a curated record. NCBI's taxonomy places the organism in Eukaryota, Viridiplantae, Streptophyta, Magnoliopsida, Poales, Poaceae. The transcript is spliced from 2 exons.
AUCCAUCUCCGUGGGCCCCUUCUCCGCCGCCGCUCGCGACGCUCGGCCAACUCCUCCCCGUGCUGGAAAUCAGGCGUCCUCGUCGGCACCGGCCUAAAUCGAGUUCCAUCCGCGCCGCCCCAAUCCCCGGCCACCGCCCUAUUGGAGGUCGUCGCCCCCUUCUCGGUCGCCUGCCGCGGUAGACUCCAUCUUCGCUGCCGUGCCGUCGCCCCCUCCCUUGCCGCCGUCCCCACUCCUGCCGCUGCCACAAAUCGAGAUGCUGGUGUUUGCGAUGGUGGUGCCGCCGAUGACUCGCUGAUCUGGAGGAGCCACACCGAUCCCUGGAGGAGCUUGCUCGACGCCGACUAGUGCUCCUUGCUUCGAAUCCGGUUAGUAAGAUCAGCAGGGAUGACUUCGCCUUGGAAGGUUUCCUUUUUCCCCAUGUUCUUCACAGACCCGAUCAAUGGGGAAGUGUACAUUGAGAUCGUCUGAAUGUGUGAUGCCGUGGUGUGCAAGAGAAAAGGUUGGAGCCGACAGCGCUAAGAGGCAGGCGCAGGAUCCAUACAUUUAUGCAGCAGUAGUAUACAUAACUAGAAACUUGGCCUAAUGGUGUACGAGAUCAGAACCUUGGUCGUGGACUACUGAUGAUGCAAUGCCCGAAUUCAUUAUGCUGGAUUGAACAUAUUUUCUUAAGACAACUCUGGCUGAAUCUAAGUAGAAGAUGGUUUGUCAACAAUGUUAGCCAUGGAGUCUGUGGUCCACUAAUCUUAGGACUUGUAUGAUUGUAUCCCAUGAUCUAGUGACAUUUCCAUUGAGCUUUUCAGUGGAGUUUGUAUACAGCAGAAAUUCUGACCUUGCAUUGUUGAGAUAUGUUGUUAAGCCUUUAUGUCUAUAAUUGAUUCCAGGAAAUAC